GAUGAACGCUGGCGGCGUGCUUAACACAUGCAAGUCGAGCGAAGCGCUCACGCGGAAUUUUUCGGAAGGAAGCGGGAGCGACUUAGCGGCGGACGGGUGAGUAACGCGUGGGUAACCUGCCCCAUACCGGGGGAUAACGGUUAGAAAUGACCGCUAAUACCGCAUAAGCGCGCGAGGCCGCAUGGCCCCGGGCGAAAAACUCCGGUGGUAUGGGAUGGGCCCGCGUCUGAUUAGCUAGUUGGCGGGGUAAAGGCCCACCAAGGCGACGAUCAGUAGCCGACCUGAGAGGGUGGCCGGCCACAUUGGGACUGAGACACGGCCCAA
RNAcentral lists this ribosomal RNA (324 nucleotides) under uncultured bacterium. RNAcentral describes it as "bacterial SSU rRNA". It matches the Rfam family "Bacterial small subunit ribosomal RNA", at positions 28 to 334 of the family's 1533-position model. The record is from RNAcentral.